GGAGGUCCUGCCUGCCCAGUGACAACUAGUUAAACGGCCGCGGUAUUUUGACCGUGCUAAGGUAGCGCAAUCACUUGUCUUUUAAAUGGGGACCUGUAUGAAUGGCGGAACGAGGGCUUAACUGUCUCCUUUUCCUAGUCAAUGAAAUUGAUCUACCCGUGCAGAAGCGGGUAUACUAAUACAAGACGAGAAGACCCUUUGGAGCUUAAGAUAAAAGGCCAACUAUGUCAAAGGCCCAAAUAAAACUAAGCCAAACAAAACAGCCAACUGGCCAAUAUCUUCGGUUGGGGCGACCGCGGGGGAAAACAAAGCCCCCACGUGGAACGGGGAAUAUACCCUAAAACCAAGAGAGACAUCUCUAAGUCACAGAACAUCUGACCAAAAGAUCCGGCCAACCAAGCCGAUCAACGGACCAAGUUACCCUAGGGAUAACAGCGCAAUCCCCUCCAAGAGUUCAUAUCGACAAGGGGGUUUACGACCUCGAUGUUGGAUCAGGACAUCCUAAUGGUGCAGCCGCUAUUAAGGA
Molecule: ribosomal RNA, 526 nt
Filed under: Piaractus mesopotamicus (pacu)
Lineage: Eukaryota; Metazoa; Chordata; Actinopteri; Characiformes; Serrasalmidae
Description: partial large subunit ribosomal RNA
Rfam family: Bacterial large subunit ribosomal RNA
Source: RNAcentral